Octopus sinensis (East Asian common octopus) is the source of this 705-nucleotide long non-coding RNA. RefSeq lists it as uncharacterized. The transcript is spliced from 4 exons. The record is from RefSeq and is a predicted model, not a curated record. Lineage: Eukaryota; Metazoa; Mollusca; Cephalopoda; Octopoda; Octopodidae.
GGCGAGAAAAGGAACCCAAACAUUGCUUACUCACCUUAAACUUGGCAGCCCACUGCAGAUGUCUUAUUAUUCAGUAACGCAGUUGAAACAUGAAGAAAUCUAAGAAUAUUAACCUUGGUUUUUGGAAUGUGCGCACUCUCAAGACAGUCACUCAGCACCAGAAUGAAAAACAGCACUGGUUGUCUUGAGUUAAAGAAAUACAACAUUGACAUAGCUGCACUAAGCGAAACUCAUCUUGCAGGAUCAUCACAGUUAGAAGAAAGUAAAGUUUGAUAUCCAUAUUCCAAACAUAUAUGGAGCAUAUGUAAAAAGAUUGUGUGGACUUCCAACUCUUGUACAUGCUACAUACAGUUGCCCAUGAGAAAAACAAUGUUCUUUGAGUUGUAGCCCAACAACAGGUAAUGUUUGUCCCUGGGAUUUAUUUAUAGACAUAGCAAAGCUGAGUUUCACUGGAAAUUGUAGCCUCUUGAAUACAAAAUACACUAUCCAUUGAUUACCAAUUGUAUGGUGACCAAUUUUGUUUCAAAACCUCCAUCUUGUGGUGCCCUUCUUCUGUAUGAUGGAUAUCCAUCAUUACUCAUUUGCAUUUCUUUUAUGAAAUUUUUAGGAUAAUGUUUCAUACACUUCUUGUCUUUCAUGCAAAGUGCAGUUGGGUUGAGAUCACCAAAUGGGCCAUGAUCCAUGUCCGAUUUUACAAUUUCAUAA